AGGAUCAACGCUGGCGGCGUGCAUGAGACAUGCAAGUCGAACGGACGAUCAAAGCUUGCUUUGUUCGUUAGUGGCGGACGGCUGAGUAACGCGUGGGUGACCUGCCCCGAAGUGGGGAAUAACUGCCCGAAAGGGUGGCUAAUACCGCAUGUGGUGAUGUGUUCAGUCGCAUCACCAAAGCCGUAAGGCGCUUCGGGAGGGGCCUGCGUCCGAUUAGCUCGUUGGUGGGGUAACGGCUUACCAAGGCGACGAUCGGUAGGUGGUCUGAGAGGAUGAUCACCCAGACUGGGACUGAGACACGGCCCAGACUCCUACGGGAGGCAGCAGUCGGGAAUUUUGCGCAAUGGACGAAAGUCUGACGCAGCAACGCCGCGUGAGGAUGAAGGCCUUCGGGUUGUAAACCUCUUUUCUCAGGGACGAUAAUGACGGUACCUGAGGAAUAAGCCACGGCUAACUACGUGCCAGCAGCCGC
This 472-nucleotide ribosomal RNA is filed under the name uncultured bacterium. RNAcentral describes it as "SSU rRNA". It matches the Rfam family "Bacterial small subunit ribosomal RNA", at positions 26 to 518 of the family's 1533-position model. The record is from RNAcentral.